AUGGACCUCGCGACGGGGGCCAUGGGCAGCCUGCUCCUCAAGCUUGGCCAACUCCUCACGGAGGAGUACAAGCUGCAGACAGGCGUCAAGGAAGAUGUUGAGUAUCUCAAGAGAGAGCUGGAAAGCAUGUAUGCUGCCCUCCGCAAGGUGGGGGGCGUGCCGCGAGACCAGCUCGACGAGCAGGUCAAGCUCUGGGCGAACGAAGUCAGGGACUUGUCGUUCAUAAUGGAGGACAUCGUCGACAAGUUCUUGGUGCGCGUCGAGGGAGCUGAGCCAGCCAUCAAGCCACACAAACUCAAGAAGCUCGUGAAGAAGAUGGGAAACUUGUUCAGCAAGAGCAAGACCCGCCGUGAGAUCUCGGAUGGGAUCAAAGACAUCAAGGUCCGCGUCAAGGAGGCGGCUGACCGACGUGAUAGGUACCGGGUCAACGGCAUGGCUGCUAAUCCAGUUGAUGCAAUCACUAUUGACCCUCGCCUAGUGGAUCUGUACAAGGACCAGAAAGAGCUCAUUGGUAUUGAUGAUUCAUUGAAUGAGCUAACCAAGAUAAUGAGUGAUGGGGAUGGUGAUGCGUCCAAGCAACUCAAGAUACUCUCUAUUUACCGAAAAAGGGUUUCCCCCCGCUUUGUAUACAAAGCAACCAACCGAACCAUACAGAGAUAG
RNAcentral lists this ribosomal RNA (660 nucleotides) under Triticum aestivum (bread wheat). RNAcentral describes it as "partial small subunit ribosomal RNA". Lineage: Eukaryota; Viridiplantae; Streptophyta; Magnoliopsida; Poales; Poaceae. The record is from RNAcentral.